CGGGGACAGGCUCACCCUGAGGGGGAGAUUCGAGCAGGGGCAGCCCUGAAGGGAUGGGGAAUGGGGACAGGCUCACCCUGAAGGGGAGGGAGGGGGCACAGGCUCACCCUGAAGGGGAGGGAGAAGGGACAGGCUCACCCUGACGGGGAGAUACACGCAGGGCCCAGACCUGAGGGCAGCAGGUGAGGGGCCGGGAAGGGAGCUAGCGACAGGAGAAGGCGAAGACCUGCGUCCUGUUUCUGCAGUGGGUUGAUCAGUGCCCCGCCCCCCGGGAACUGGAGCUGUCUGUCACUAGCCUGCACGUCUCAGACCCUGAAAGCUCCAUUCCCAGUCCUUAGUGAUCCUCUCCUGGUGAUGCCAGGUCCGUUACCGGGCACCUUCCUGGGGUGACAGUACGCUGCUCCAGCCCCUCCAGGGUUUCAGACACAGUCAGAAGUCAAGAAGCAGCGAAAUUCUGCAGCAGUAGGGGGAGAAUUGUUUUUUUCUAAGGGAAAUGAAUAUAGUUUUCAGGACGUAGACAAGGGUCUUUGGCUGGCGUUGGUAACUCGCGUGGUUCGUUCCCCGGCCCUCUCCCUUGUCUGUGUACUUUCCUUCAGGAAGCAGCGUUGCCAAGCCCUGUGCUGGGGAGCUGAUCCCGACCCUGAAGGAGCCCAGACCACGGAGAGAGAGAAGUAGCCACGAACGGAACUGAAGACAGUUCAUAACGCUGUGAUAGAGGACGACGGACACCUUGCUGUGGGGCCACUUAAAAUGUAUUCUUUAAAAACAUCAGUCAACAUUUCACUUUGCUCAAAACCCUGUAAAGGAUUUCCGUUUCACUCAGUGAGAGCCAAAGUUCUUCCAAUGGAAAAGUCCCUACACGGUCUGGCUUCCUCCUCCUCCUGUUAUGGAACCGAAGUGAGUUCUCUCCUGGACUUUAACGCCAGCAGCCACACCAUUGUGGUGUUAAGACCAUGGCGGGACAUUGCCAAUGAAACGUCCGCAAAACGGGGAGGAAGAUCAUGGAGGAGGCAGGGGCAGGGAGAAAAGUGGGAAGGCCAUUUAGCAGAAAAGCAAAAAUAUCUGUCAUUGAGAAUUUUGGAAUGUUUGUGCUGGAGGCAGAGAGGAGGAAAAUGUAAAAAGUCUGAAAAAAAAAAAAAGCCGCCGUCUGUCUGGGGCACCAGCACGCAGUCAUUCGAGACCACAGAGUGACACCUAGUGGACACCUGGGAAGAUGCUUCCUGCAGGGGAGCUCGGCGCCGCCCGCCCAAGUGGUUUCGUAGAGCUGGGGAUGCCGAGCGCAGGAAGGACCCGGGCCCGGUGCUCGCCGCUCGGAGCUGCCCCCGAUCCGCCCUGGGAGGACGCCCGGGGAGAGUGCUGUGCCGGGACUCCGGAGUCCAGUCCUGGCCCAGAUGCCAGCUGGGAGACCUCGCACGGGAAACUGUGUCUGUCGGGAAGCGGGGAGAGGCUCUUCCCUCGGCUCCACCGCUCUGGAUUCCCCCCUCUGCCAGCCCCCAGCCCCGCUCCGCACAGCCCCUGCCUCCGCUGUUCUGCCCGCCCUCCUUGGGGGACUGCGGUGAGCUCGGAGGACGGGCAAACUCCUGCGAGCAGAAGGCCCACCUUUCAAGUUUUCAUAUUACCUCCAACGCAAGGCUGAAUCCGAUCACCGAUGCCAAGCUACGGGCACAGUGCUUUGCUGGCGGUGAGCGCUCUAAGAAAGCUCUGUCGGAGGAAAGAGUCCUGGAUCUUGAGUCAGGAUUCCAGCCCCGUGUAAACACAAGCACCUCGGGAACUGGAGCCGAGGAGUUCUUCUAGAAAGUUCUAGACUGUUCCUUAGUCAAAAUUAGCCCCUUUACAAUUUUACCCCAUUUGUCCUUGUUCAGCCUUCUGAAGCGGUUCAGAAUAACUAUUUUUAUGCGACGCCUGCAAACACCUUUUAUGCUCCCUGUAAAUAUUGCCAUUUUGGGCUAAAUGUGCUCAACUUCAUUCUUUACAGCAGUGGUUCUCAAACAAGGAUUUUGCCCCUGAGGGCACAUGUGGCAGUGUCUGGAGACCUUUCGGUUGUCACACCUUGAGGAGGGAGGCUGCUACUGACAUCUAGUGGGCAGAGGCCUAGAUGCAGCCAACCUCCUGCAGGGCUCCCGGCGGGCCCCACCCCCACCACGCACACAAAGAACUAUCCAUUGCAGAAUGCACGCGUGCUGAGGUCGUGGAGCCCUGCUUGAGACAGCUGGGACUUCUUAGCAUCCCCGUCCAUUCUGCGGACGCUCUUCAUUCAUCGGCGACGUUUGUACCGCGAUGUGGUACAGAACUCCAGACCAGCUCUGACCAGCCUGGGCAUCUUGGGGUGUACACACGGGACGUCCCUCAGUGGAGCGUAGAGAUUAGAUCAACCCUCCAAGCAAUCUUUUGCUCAUAUGGCGAGUCUGUCCUUACUGUUUACGAACAAAGAACUUAUGGACAAACGUGCGUACAAUUAAAUAAAAGAUAUACAUUACCUGAAAAAA
RNAcentral lists this long non-coding RNA (2486 nucleotides) under Equus caballus (horse). RNAcentral describes it as "lncRNA (ENSECAG00000050070.1)". Lineage: Eukaryota; Metazoa; Chordata; Mammalia; Perissodactyla; Equidae. The record is from RNAcentral.